Molecule: long non-coding RNA, 583 nt
Filed under: Gossypium barbadense (sea-island cotton)
Lineage: Eukaryota; Viridiplantae; Streptophyta; Magnoliopsida; Malvales; Malvaceae
Description: long non-coding RNA (GBAR_LNC007438)
Source: RNAcentral
AAGCAAUUACGAUGCACAGAGACAUUGUUCCUCGAGCCUUCUCUUGCAAUUUUCCUAGCCGUGUUUUAGAGCUUUUAAAGGCUCUUAAUGGGAAGUUUCGACACCAUCCUUGUCUCAAUAAUCAGGUAAUGUAUCUGCAUUUUUGAAAACUGUAAAUGCAACUGAAUUAGAACAUGGAUAUUUAACUAUUUAUCUUGUUUUGCUACAGAAUCUAUUGUAUGCAUCAAUGGGGCAACUUCUGAUUUUACAACCAGAUGAGAAAUUCUCUCCUCCUCAUCAUCUCCUUCCUUGGGGAAUCGGUCUAUAUUUCCUAACCUCUCCAUUCUCAAACGAAGAUAGUGAAGAGAAGUUGCUCCGGGCUGCACAGAGAAUUUUCUUUAACUCGCCACAUCCACUUGACAUCUUAAGUGAUCGUAGUGCAUACGGUUCCGAAGGAACAAUCAUAAGAGAUCAUGACAUGAAAUCUUACUUGAAAUUCGUUCGAGAAGUCAUCCGUCAAGAGCAAAAUCGCAUCAGGAAGACCAAGAGAGAACAACGACGCAAGGACUGGUGGUCCCUGGUGUUAUCUCGAGGCGUCAGUGCG